This 254-nucleotide ribosomal RNA is filed under the name uncultured bacterium. RNAcentral's name for it is "partial 16S ribosomal RNA". It matches the Rfam family "Bacterial small subunit ribosomal RNA", at positions 524 to 776 of the family's 1533-position model. The record is from RNAcentral.
UACAGAGGUCCCGAGCGUUGUUCGGAUUCACUGGGCGUAAAGGGCGCGUAGGCGGCCUCCGCAAGUCAAUUGUGAAAUCUCCGGGCUUAACUCGGAAAGGUCAACUGAUACUGCGGGGCUAGAGUGCGGAAGGGGCAACUGGAAUUCUUGGUGUAGCGGUGAAAUGCGUAGAGAUGCGGAGGAACACCGAUGGCGAAGGCAGCCCCCUGGGCCGACACUGACGCUCAGGCACGAAAGCGUGGGGAGCAAACAGG